Molecule: long non-coding RNA, 2404 nt
Filed under: Homo sapiens (human)
Lineage: Eukaryota; Metazoa; Chordata; Mammalia; Primates; Hominidae
Description: HSALNT0234333
Source: RNAcentral
UUCAUCCUUGACAAUAGGUUCCAUAAAAUCCAUCUUACAAGUGACAGGUUUGCACAGAUGUUUUUAAAUGAAGUGUUGAAUAAAUGGUUCCUCUUGUUUCUAGCAAGCAUGAGAGUGAGAGAGCGAGUGAGCAAAAGAAAUGACUAGUGACCAGUUGAGAAAGUCCUGUCUUCCAUUGAGCCAUUUCACUCCUGCCCAUCUACUCUCAACUGCUCAAGAGCCGCUGAACCCUCUGAACACUGUGAGGAUCAGAUGAGACAACGUGUGUGAAAACACCUUACAAAUACAAAGCUGUGAAGAUGUAAAGGAUGGUUAUUACAGAAUGGAGGUGAUGAGUACAGAAUCAUGGAAUAGCAGCUGUGGAUUAAGAAGAGUGAACAGGGCUGGGUGCGGUGGCUCACGCCUGUAAUCCCAGCAGUUUAGGAGGCCAAGGCGGGCAGAUCACCAGGUCAGGAGAUCAAGACUAUCCUGGCUAACACGGUGAAAUCCUGUGUCUACUAAAAAUACAAAAAAUUAGCCAGGUGUGGUGGCAGGCGCCUGUAGUCCCAGCUAAUCGGGAGGCUGAGGCAGGAGAAUGGUGUGAACCCGGGGGGCAGAGCUUGCAGUGAGCCGAGAUCGCACCACUGCACUCCAGCCUGGGUGACAGAGCGAGACUCUGUCUCCAAAAAAAAAAAGAAGAAGAAGAAGAAGAGUGAACAUACGUGAAUUGAGAUUGGUGUUGUGUUAAAUGAAACAAAGAAAUAAUUUGACAUAUAUAUAAUAUAUUUUUUCAGCUGGAUGAAUGAUUACUAUACAUAGAUGUUAAUUGAUUCAUGUAAAUCACCAGGGUUACAGUUUAUGGGAGCCUUUUAAAAAUAAGUGCAAUUACAUAAUGACCAAGUCUGUAGGGAGGUCUUACCGCCUUUAGAAAAUCAUCCUUCCUUUCAUUCCUGAAUAAGUCACUGCAUUUUGGCUACUAUUAUUUUACCUGUCCGUACCAUGUAUAGUUACUGAUAUGGUUUGGGUCUGUGUCCCUGCCCAAAUCUCAUGUCAAAUUAUAAUUCCCAGAGUUGGAAGUGGAGCCUGGUGGGAGGUGAUUGGAUCGUUGGGGCAGAUUUCCCCUUUGGUGCUGUUCUCAUGAUAGUGAGAGAGUUAUCAUGAGAUUUGAUCAUUUAAAAGAGUGUAGCACCUCCCUCCUGUCUCUCUUCCUUCUGCUCCAACCAUAUAAGAUGUAUUUGCUUUCCCUUCAUCUUUGUCAUGAUUGUAAGUUUCCUGAGGCCUCCCCAGCCAUGCUUCUGGUAUAGCCUGCUUAACUGUGAGCCAAUGAAACUUCUUUUCUUUGUGAAUUAUUUAGUUUCAGGUGUUUCUUUAUAGUGAUUUGAGAAAAGACUAAUACAGUUACUGACAGAAUAGUAUCCCCAUUCACUAUGUGAGUAACUCUUCUUUAAAUGUUGUGGUUUCAUCUAGAGAUUUAUCUUCUGACCCACCAAGGACCAAACCAUGAAUGUAGGGAAUGGGGUUUCAUUUAAAGGCGGCACUGUGAAGUCAGGUAUUUCUGUCAGUCUUUCUGUCAGCACUUUAGGCAAAGCAAAUUGGAAGUGAACUGAACAGAUGGGACCUGUUAAGAGAGACCCUUAGGAAGGUCUCCAGGUGGGGCCGCAAUCCUUAACAUUGCCAUAUAGCAAAUUCUUCUUCUCUUGGUAAUAAAUAGACUAACAGACCAUGAUUAUUUUUCUUAAUCAAAGAACCAAACUCCUAAGCCUUUUUUUAAUAGACAGCCUGCUUUAUAUCUACACUGAUGAAGAAAAUAAGAAAUAUCUAAUAAAGCUUAAGAUGUAUAUCUGCUUAUGCUUAAAGCCUGUUUAUUUAGAAUACCUCUGCCUGCUAGCACUUUUUAGUAGGUAUGUCUGGAGAGAGAUUGGUGAGAAACUCACUCCUUCCUGUCCAAUAUAAGGCAGAACAAAGGUGUGACUGGGUGUCAAUGUCACUGUGGGUUUUCAAUUUCUGCUGAUAGAAAUGUAAAACUUUCUCAGGAGUCUUGGUUUUACAUGCUGGGAAACCCCCUUCCAACUCAGUCCUCAUAGAAACUUACCGGUAGGGGUGAAACUUUUUUCCAAACUCCAUUUCACUCCCUAACUGAGCAAUACCAGGUUUACAUGAUUAGAAAUUCCCAUCUUUAGGCAAAAAUACUGGAAGCAGUAGAAUAAUACUGAGAUAUUGUUUUGCAUUGCAUUUGACAGGAAAUAAGAAACAUGUGAGGUCCUUUUAUGAGUCUCUAUCUUUUGACAUUCUGAAAUUUCUUCCUUAUCAUGAUAUUAAGAAUUAAAGAACACUUUCUGCUGAAGAUGAGAGAUAGAUUCCUAAUUUUGUAAUAUCGUAGAACUAGCACUAAUGCCAGCAGUCUCAGAUUAGUCUUAAAUCACUA